AUUGAACGCUGGCGGCAGGCCUAACACAUGCAAGUCGAAUGGUAACAGGAAACAGCUUGCUGUUUCGCUGACGAGUGGCGGACGGGUGAGUAAUGUCUGGGAAACUGCCUGAUGGAGGGGGAUAACUACUGGAAACGGUAGCUAAUACCGCAUAACGUCGCAAGACCAAAGAGGGGGACCUUCGGGCCUCUUGCCAUCAGAUGUGCCCAGAUGGGAUUAGCUAGUAGGUGGGGUAACGGCUCACCUAGGCGACGAUCCCUAGCUGGUCUGAGAGGAUGACCAGCCACACUGGAACUGAGACACGGUCCAGACUCCUACGGGAGGCAGCAGUGGGGAAUAUUGCACAAUGGGCGCAAGCCCGAUGCAGCCAUGCCGCGUGUAUGAAGAAGGCCUUCGGGUUGUAAAGUACUUUCAGCGGGGAGGAAGGGAGUAAAGUUAAUACCUUUGCUCAUUGACGUUACCCGCAGAAGAAGCACCGGCUAACUCCGUG
RNAcentral lists this ribosomal RNA (490 nucleotides) under uncultured bacterium. RNAcentral's name for it is "partial 16S ribosomal RNA". It matches the Rfam family "Bacterial small subunit ribosomal RNA", at positions 30 to 507 of the family's 1533-position model. The record is from RNAcentral.